AAGUCGUAACAAGGUUUCCGUAGGUGAACCUGCGGAAGGAUCAUUGAUGAAUAAAACCGGGGGCUUGCCCUGCACCGGCGGAGACGUCGUGUUGCGGGUGCUCCCAUUCCACACCCACACCCCUGUGCACCUUUGGGAAAGGCUGGUCGAGAGGCCGCCCGACCCGGUUUUUAACAAACGCUUUGCUCAAGUCAUAAGAAUGUCUGGCGGCUUGACCGUCCUAAAACUUAAAAUACAACUUUCAACAACGGAUCUCUUGGCUCUC
RNAcentral lists this unclassified non-coding RNA (265 nucleotides) under air metagenome. RNAcentral describes it as "partial contains small subunit ribosomal RNA, internal transcribed spacer 1, and 5.8S ribosomal RNA". The stretch from base 1 to 46 matches the Rfam family "Eukaryotic small subunit ribosomal RNA", at positions 1786 to 1831 of the family's 1831-position model. The record is from RNAcentral.